CCCUUAGAUGUUUUGGGCCGCACGCGCGCUACACUGAUGCAUUCAACGAGUUUUUCCUGGUCCGAGAGGAAUGGGUAACCUUUUGAAAGUGCAUCGUGCUAGGGAUAGACUAUUGCAAUUAUUGGUCUUCAACGAGGAAUUCCUAGUAGACGUAGUUCAUCAGACUGCAUCGAUUACGUCCCUGCCCUUUGUACACACCGCCCGUCGCUCCUACCGAUUGGAUGAUCCGGUGAGCUAUUCGGACCUUCGCUUCGUCGAUUUUCGGCUUUGUGAGGGAAAGUCUCGCGAACCUUAUCAUCUAGAGGAAGGAGAAGUCGUANCA
RNAcentral lists this ribosomal RNA (322 nucleotides) under uncultured eukaryote. Its description in RNAcentral is "partial 18S ribosomal RNA". It matches the Rfam family "Eukaryotic small subunit ribosomal RNA", at positions 1470 to 1796 of the family's 1831-position model. The record is from RNAcentral.